UACGUAGGGUGCAAGCGUUAUCCGGAAUUAUUGGGCGUAAAGAGCUCGUAGGCGGUUUGUCGCGUCUGCUGUGAAAUCCCGAGGCUCAACUUCGGGCUUGCAGUGGGUACGGGCAGACUAGAGUGCGGUAGGGGAGAUUGGAAUUCCUGGUGUAGCGGUGGAAUGCGCAGAUAUCAGGAGGAACACCGAUGGCGAAGGCAGAUCUCUGGGCCGUAACUGACGCUGAGGAGCGAAAGGGUGGGGAGCAAACGGG
RNAcentral lists this ribosomal RNA (253 nucleotides) under uncultured bacterium. Its description in RNAcentral is "partial 16S ribosomal RNA". It matches the Rfam family "Bacterial small subunit ribosomal RNA", at positions 524 to 776 of the family's 1533-position model. The record is from RNAcentral.